Long non-coding RNA from Xenopus laevis (African clawed frog), 1219 nucleotides. RefSeq lists it as uncharacterized. NCBI's taxonomy places the organism in Eukaryota, Metazoa, Chordata, Amphibia, Anura, Pipidae. The transcript has 5 exons. The record is from RefSeq and is a predicted model, not a curated record.
CAUGAAUAGAAAUAGGUUCAAACCCACAGACGAAUCUGCCGGAACAAAUCAAAAGCAUUCGAUUUGGCGCAAGAGGAAGCUCACGUGACCAACCAGGGACGACACGCAUGCGUAAGAUUUGCUCUUACGGAAGAACUAGACGAAUGCAUCGUACACAGAGUCGUUGCUUCGUGACCAAAAUUACCCAUAACGCCCAGUACGUUCAAUGUGCAACGUGACCUUAAAGGGAACAACAAACAAGCCGCCGCCGCCGAUGGCGUGACGUCAUUCAUAGCCCAGGGAAAAGGGCGUGGUGUAAGGCGGAAGUGUUCGUUCUUGUGGAGCAGAGGGUAUAUGCUUUGGAGUAUGAUCCUCGUACCCCCAUAGAUCCACCGGGGAUCCAUUUCCUGGAUCUCUGGGGGCGAGUGAGCAGAGAGCCUGGACUUGGGAAAGUGAACAAGAUGGUGUGUGAGUUCUUUCUGUUGUCCUCCAUCUGGUUCGUUGUGGUCAUAUUUUGGAUGGAGACAAUCAGUAUGUGGCUGUUCCUGUGCCAUUUAUUUCAAGACCGAGCAAUGUAUCAGUGGGGAGAAAGGAUUUACAUCAGCAAUCCUGACCAGAACAUGUACAUAAUUAUUACAGUCGACUCUUUGAGGUAGCCUUAAACUUCACAGGUGCUGACUGGAUUAUUUUCAAAAUGUUUGAAAAAACUGGGGCGGUGGACUGAUGUGCCAUAUUAAUUUAAAGAAAUCGUAUUUUGUAAAUCUUUUUAAUGACGUUCUAAAAUCUAAAAGUAAAGUUGAAUGAGUUGUGCAAGAUAUCCUGACCAGUGGAGAAGAUAAUGCUGUGCCUGAGAAAUUCUGUUUUACAUCUUGGCAAGACUUCUGAAUGGUCAGCAAGCCCACAAACAGAAGAACUGCCUGGUGAAUUGAGUGUAGGGCUGCUGGUGUAUCAGGAGAAGCCUGGAACCCUAUGAGCUUCAGCUUUCAUGGACAGUGUUUGUUAGUUGGAUGCCUUGGACUCCACCGAUAUUCAGUGGCAUGUCGGUAAUGGAAGCCUUAAACUGUCACUGUAAUUUUCUGAGUACCACAUGGAAUGUGAGGCUGGAAUGGUACCCUGGAAUCUGCCAUACUGGAUAUCAAUCAAUCCUUUUUUUAUUACAGUAUGCUGUCAUUUUUAAGCCAUUUAGAGUUUUAAAGUGUUUGAAUAUAUUUUAAAAAUAAAUCUAAUUUUCCUUUUUAAA